Long non-coding RNA from Gallus gallus (chicken), 1145 nucleotides. NCBI's taxonomy places the organism in Eukaryota, Metazoa, Chordata, Aves, Galliformes, Phasianidae. The record is from Ensembl.
UGAGAGGCGGCCUGCUGGUCUGCUGGAGCGCUGCUUCCGGAUACAGAGUCCUCUGUACGGCAGGGACACGGACCCGAUGGAGUGUGUACAGAGGAGGGACACAAAAAUGAUCUAAGGGAUGGAAUACCUGCACUGCGAGGACAGGCUGAGGGAGCCGGGGCUGUUCAGCCCGGAGAUGAGAAGGCUCUGGAGAGACCUGAUAGCGGCCUGUCAGUAUCUAACGGGGCUGUAAGAAGGGGACAGACUGCUUGUCACGGUCUGUUGCGACAGGACAAGGGGAAAUCGUUUCAAAACAAAAGAGAGGAGAUUUAGAGUGGAAAUAAGGAAAAAAUGUUUUAGAACAAGGGUAGUGAAGCAGUGGAACAGAAGUCAGAGCCACCACAGCUGUAGUGCUGCCACAGCAGUAGCUGAAGGGAAUGUGCAUGGGGCAGGAGGGAGAGGAGUCAAACACAGCCUUGCAUGAUACAGCACAGCAUCUUUCAGCUGCACGCCUGGUAACGUGAGCGAAGCCUCGUAUGUUCAGUUCCUGCAGACUUGAGGCUGGCAAUCUUCCAGCAGUGGCCAGCGUAGCAGAUGCACCAGAAGCAUCAUUUUUUGUGCCAUUAUUUCUUUGAACAUUGGAAUAAAAGAAAUAAAACCUGUCCCAUUGCUGCUACUCCUGUCUUGGAGCUGCUCAUCCUUGCACAAAAUAAAUAUUUUUUUCCCUUUGUAAUGAAUCCUGUUUUACAUCAGCCCAUCCUAGGAGUGCUUUCUGUCUUGUCUCCCCAAAUACUGUAUACAAGGCACAGUCUGACCAGAGGAGAGGACAUCAUUGCUUAAGCCUGAAGACUGGAAGUAGUGAAGCUGCCAAGCUGUAAUGUGGUGGCAUGAAAGGAUCUCACUGUGAUGGUGAAGAAGGUCUGCUGUCCGAGAGGUGGAUGUCCCAGAACUGUGGCAGAGAAAUUCUCCUUCUGAGUAAGACUGAUGUAACCAGGGAGUAUCCUUUGCAGCUACCUCUGGCAGAGAGAUGAUGAAGGCACAGUGGGUCAUGGUCUCUUCUGCAUCGAGCAACUGCUGUGCAAUUGUCAGAAAAAGAAAUACAUCAAACAAUCAGGACUUUAUAAAGGUCAGUUCCGGAGCUUACACAAAUCAGUGCUACAAACAGC